RNAcentral lists this unclassified non-coding RNA (336 nucleotides) under uncultured fungus. Its description in RNAcentral is "sequence contains ITS1". The stretch from base 1 to 105 matches the Rfam family "5.8S ribosomal RNA", at positions 50 to 154 of the family's 154-position model. Lineage: Eukaryota; Fungi. The record is from RNAcentral.
AAACUGUGAUAGGUGUUGUGAAUUGCAGAUACCUGUGGAUCAUCGAGUUUUUGAACGCAUACUGCGGCCUUUGGUCAACCUUGGGCCCUGUCCGUUAGAGUGUCAGUUCUAGACUCGUUAUUUUGCUGUACCCCAUAGCAUUAUAGCGGUUUUGGCAGUUGAAAUUUAAUUUCAUCUGCUUAAAUAUAUUUCCUGGUUAUAACUUUCGGGUGUAAGCUUUUUACAGCAUAUUCCUGAAGGCUAGGGCGUUUAUCCAGGAAUUUCCAGGUUUUCUGGACCAGUAAUACUGGAAUUAUUUAUGAUCUCUAAUCGGGCAAGAUUACCCGCUUAAUUUAA